Long non-coding RNA from Oncorhynchus tshawytscha (Chinook salmon), 3329 nucleotides. The record is from Ensembl. NCBI's taxonomy places the organism in Eukaryota, Metazoa, Chordata, Actinopteri, Salmoniformes, Salmonidae.
GGCAGAAUUUAUUAGGAAUAUAGUACCCAGAAAUCGUAAAAUAAAAGCAGAAAGACUGGUAGAAAGACUUGUAAUAAGAAUGUCAUUGCAAUGCAUCCACUUGAGUUCACAUUCGGACAAACCUAAAAAUCUGCACUUGUAGCACCCCUUUCUGAUUCAAUAUAUACAACUCCAAUGUGAGCCGGGAUCCCCCAAAAGCCCACGUCUUCAGUCCAAAACCUUUAAAGUCCCCGAAAGUGGUAGCAAAGGCAGACUAGAAAUAUUUAAAACAUUACAUUCUAUCCUCAUUCAAUUACGGGUAACGUAUAUUCCCUUAAACUCCAUUUUGCUCUCCAGAGCGGGUAUCCCUUAUAACACUACAAGGUACCACUUUACACUAAGGUACCUUUCAUAAAGAGCACCUUAAAGUAGUGUAACCCACUACAAAUAUAUAUAUAUAUUAUUUUUUUGCAUACUGUAUGGCUGUUUGGGGCGAUUGAGGUGGAUGUAGGAAAAGGUGGUGUGAAAAAGUGAGAGAAAAGAGAAAAGGCAACCCAAACGGAUGGUGGGUGAGAAAAUAAGAGUUUAUAAAGCAGUGGAUCAUGUCAUCGAUUUACAGCUCCAUACAAAAGACGUACAAAAAAAAAACCAGCACCAACAGACACGCAGUGCUCUCACAUGCCAGGGUAGUGUUCAUUAGGGAUAGCAACGGGAAACGUUUGCAACAGAACACGAACAUUUGCAUUUCUUAUUUGACAUGUCCAGGGAGUCAGCUUUCCUAUGUUUGGUCCCUAAUGAACACGACCCAGGGAAGGGUGAAUGAAAAGGGGAUGGUGAGAAAAAUAAACGAGAACAAAAGCAACCAAAGACAGAAACCAAAAAUAAAGUAAUUACAUAUUAAGGUGCUUAAACAAUUGUUCUGACCCCAGUGUCCUUCCUAUGUGAAUACAUACUCAUUUACACACGAAAAAAAAAGGCAAAAUAAAUUCUUAAAAUCACAUUCAUUGAACACAAAAAGUAUGCCUAACAAAUGUUAUUCAAAUACAUUGUAACAAGCUAUUGCAUUGACACUAAUCGUUUCAGUCAUUCCGGACAGUAAAAAGGUCGCCGUCAGAAUGAUCUAGAGAAAAAAAAAACAACGCCAGGAAGAUAACUGUAUAAUUCAAAUUACGCCGCUUAUCUGAUUAUAUUCAUUUAGAGUGAGAAGUAAAACAUCCCAUUUGGACAAAGGCAAUGAAUGUGGCGACAACAUUAGCUAAGUCAUUCCUAAUACAGUAUUCAACAGCGAUCUUAAAGAAAACCUCGUCAUAGAAUAAAAUAACACCAUUUCAAAAAGGAGGCUUGUGUUAUUGACACCUGAAGGUUUGUUGUAUAUUGACAAAAGUAAAUGUCAGACUUGACUGGGAACAAAUGUAGGCUAUUGUCUCGUUAUCUUAAACAUGGCAAGGGGAUUUUGCUGUGGUUGAAAUGAGCCAAAAGCACACUUUACCUUAGGCCACUUCAACUAGAAGAAAGUACACAAAGUAAGCUGAGAAACUUAUGUUGCUCUAUCCAAAGUUGUAUUUAUGGACGGAGACAUCUAAAUGACGUCCUAUCAAUAUUCAAUACUUUUCCCACUAUAAAUACCUUCACAUACAAGAAAAGUGGUAAAACGGGUUGCUUUUGCAUAUGUUUUUCCAACGGUAUCAAACUCCUAAAGCCCUAUCGACAAUCCAAUCUAGCUCUCACUUGUAAAAUCCGUAGUGUACUCAUACAUUUCAAGUGAGAAUAAGGAUAAACCGCCAAGUCCAUCGAUCAAUAAAAUCCCAAAUCUAUAAAUAUUAUUUCCCAUCUAAAGUACAAAAUGUACUGUAAUUGUUCAAACAAGAAUGGCUAAAAAAUAAAAUAUCGACGAUUGCCACUUCCACAUUUGAAAUAACUCGCCCAUAUAGGAGUUUGCAAACACUAUAAAAUGAGAAACUGGAAUUGACUGUAGGCCCAUAGAGGGCAGAUAUCCAGAGCCUUCCGGUGCAAAUAGAAGGUUCUGCAAAUGUAUUUAUACGCUUUCAAUAUCAAUGCAUUUGCCUCCAAACAUAUCUUACCCUAUCCCGUGGUAUCCAGCAACACUUUUGGGUAUCAUGCGUCAUCAUUUUCACUAGGGAAAUAGGUGAGUUCCUGUGUUGGUGUAUAACAUUUAUGAAGAAGAUUUUUAACUAAUAAUGCUGUGGUUGUUUCAUGUUGCUUAUUGAACGCUGCUGUGGAUAAGAGCAUUUGCUAAAAGAUUAAACAUUGAAAUGUGUUGCAAUGUCCUAUACUGCUCUGAAAAUACCAACCUGCCCCCCUAUUACAGAUAAUACACUUGGGGGGGAGAGUUCUCUAUUGAUUUAACACUGAGGAAAAAGGGGGAAAAAACAUGUCCAAAACCAAGAUGGCUGACAUGAUGACGUCAAGGCAAUCCCGAGUGGCAGUUUACUUGGCAUCUCUAACUCUAUCUUUACCAUAUUUGACCUUUCUGAAUGUUACACAAUCAACUUAUCAAUGCAAGUUAUUACAUUACUGGGUUAAAAUAUAUCUAAUAAAUCAAAUAAAAGCAGAUGUCAACAUUUAAAGGUGGCCAUCUUGUUUGGCUACCCUUCCUUCAGUAUCUGAGGUGAAAGGAAUUCAAAAGUAUGGAUCUUCUUCUGCUUCUCGAUCAUUUAGAAAAUAAUCGUUUCAUUAGUGGAAUAGUCUCCUUUAGAGUUGGCUAGUUAGAGCUAAAACAAAAUAUUUUUUUGUGACAUUGUCACACAUGCUUGAGCAAGGCUUCUUGGAUGACCUGACGUAGUGGGGUCAUCCUAGGGUCAGCUCCACCUCCCCCAAUCUUAACCUUAAUUAACCAUUGGUGGGGAAAGUGCAAAACUGACCCAAAUCAGUGUCUGGGGGCAACUUUACUCCGGGUUGGUUGUGUCCAAUAUGGGUUGUGCUAGAGAUGGAAGGGUCCAAGUAAGGAGGUUGCGGGGGUGGACCGGAUUCAUCAUUACAGUUUCUUGACGUAGUUUCCUGGAAAGGUUCCAAACUGCUUGCUCUGUCGGGAAGUCCCUUUUUAAAAACACAAAAACAGAGAUGCCAAUUUUCCACUAUGUAGACAUCCACGGUGACAUUAAAACAUCAUUAUAGGUCGUAAUUGUAAAAGAGAAUGUGUUUAAUAAAGGAUAAUAAUAAACAAUGAAAGGUGUCCGUUUACAUACUGUAUCCCACUAGAAGUGAUUGAUUCUAGAAUUUCAGUGGUUCUUCUAUGCAGAGGGAACUAUCCAAAGAAUUGCUGACUUAAAUUGUUUAUUCAAAUAUUGCAAAAAACACAAAUGAUUCCCUGCACCGUUAAAAUAAACCCA